This 738-nucleotide long non-coding RNA is filed under the name Rattus norvegicus (Norway rat). Its description in RNAcentral is "long non-coding RNA NONRATT026603". The record is from RNAcentral. Lineage: Eukaryota; Metazoa; Chordata; Mammalia; Rodentia; Muridae.
CAUGAUGAAAUUCAUAUAUGAGAUUUCAAAUGGCUUUCUGACACAGGCCUGGGACUAACUAUCCCCAGAACAUCGAUGCCAUGAACAUUAAUGAAAUAACUACCCUAAGGCAAGAAUGGACGAUCUUAAAAACAUAUUUUCCAUCUUAUGGUUCAUAUUUACUUCAAAUGUAAAGCCCUUGGGCCAAUUGUUUGCAUUCCUCUAAGGACAGUUGGUCAGAGUCAGAAGAAAGUAGCUCGGGGAGUUUGUGGUCAGAUUGAAUGGCAAGGAUUCAUGGACAAUUUGAGUUGCCUCUCUAGUCAGUAAUGGUAAUAAAAACCAGGCACACACGUGUCCAUGACUACAUGAUCAGAGUGUGUUCAUGGGACUGCACAUGUAACCUCUGCUCAGGCUUACUGAAUGGCAGACAUGGAAAAGGCGUACACUUUGAUUGUGUUCUUCCUGCUGCUGAGACUUUCUUUCAUCUUGUGCGGUUUUCCAGAAGCCACUUGUUUUUGGAGAAUAAAUCACAAUGAACAUCUUGAGAGCAACAUGAGGAAGGACUGUGGUUUCAUCCUUUUCACAAUACCUGUUCAUCUAGUGGAAGAUCACUUCAGGGUGCUGCUGGAUUUUCCUUUUCCACUUCGGUGUGCAGUAUGCCUUGCCAUCCUGGUUUCAAGAAAUCGCAUCCUGAAGGAAAAGCAGACUGCUGUUUUGAUUGUCUCCGAUGUCCUGCCAAUGAGAUUUCCAACACCACAG